GGCUGACGCUGGUCUUGCACAAUUGGAUAGGUGUCCCAGAGCAUAGGAGGAUGUGACGCACAAGGUCAUGUGGCAUGGGGCCUCCCUCUAAACUCUCUUAUUCAUAUCUCCAUUUCCCCAUCUCUGUUCUGCAUGGAUGGGACGGAUUCAUAUCGGAUCAACAUGUUAUUGGACUAUUGGAGCCUCUGGAGAGCUCUGUUUUCCAAGCAUGAGAUGUCCAGCAGGAAACCAUCAUAAUCUCACUGAUCCUACAGUAGAUCAAUCCUCGAGGUCAACCCAGGUGUGAGCAACACUCCGUUGACCCCUCAAAGACAGUGCCCGACACAUGCACUGUUUGUUGACAUGUUUACGUACCGUUCCUUCCUCAAAGGGGCGGAGCUUCACCCGGCAUUCCGAUGUUGCUUUGGAGACAGGGCUCUGACAGCGGCCAAUGGGCAGAGAGGAUUAUAAUGAGUGCGUGUGAAUCAAACGGCGCUAUCAAACAGCAUGUUGACAGAAGGUGAUUUUUAAAAAAUCUGCUCACUCAAGGAAGAAUGCACAGCGGGGAAUAAGAACGAGAAUCAAACAAACAAAAGCUGCUAAGCCAAUUAAAUACCAUAGUCAUAAUCUGGACAUCAGGGGUUAGGUAGUGAGUGAGUGUGUGUUUUAAUACAACUGUUACUGUUACUGAAUGUGGCAACUCAGUUGUCUUUGGUUCUGAUUUCAUCUUGGCAUCAAGGGUGAGCUAGGUUGUGUGUGUGUGUGUGUGUGGCUGUGUGUGUGUGUGGCUGUGUGUGGCUGUGUGUGUGUUUGUGUCUCACAAAAGUGUUUGUGUCUCACAAAAGUGUUUGUCACUCUCCUUACAAAGUUGUCGUUUUUUUUCUAAGUAUAUCAAUGUUGUUGUUGGUAUCGUCUCAGUGUCUGGUUACUUACUUACAGUUGAAGUCGGAAGUUUACA
Molecule: long non-coding RNA, 937 nt
Organism: Salvelinus namaycush (lake trout)
Lineage: Eukaryota; Metazoa; Chordata; Actinopteri; Salmoniformes; Salmonidae
Exons: 3
Source: RefSeq, a predicted model, not a curated record